RNAcentral lists this ribosomal RNA (550 nucleotides) under uncultured bacterium. RNAcentral's name for it is "bacterial SSU rRNA". It matches the Rfam family "Bacterial small subunit ribosomal RNA", at positions 355 to 896 of the family's 1533-position model. The record is from RNAcentral.
UAGGGAAUCUUCCGCAAUGGACGCAAGUCUGACGGAGCAACGCCGCGUGAGUGAAGAAGGUUUUCGGAUCGUAAAACUCUGUUGUUAGAGAAGAACAAGUGCUAGAGUAACUGUUAGCGCCUUGACGGUAUCUAACCAGAAAGCCACGGCUAACUACGUGCCAGCAGCCGCGGUAAUACGUAGGUGGCAAGCGUUGUCCGGAUUUAUUGGGCGUAAAGCGAGCGCAGGCGGUUCCUUAAGUCUGAUGUGAAAGCCCCCGGCUCAACCGGGGAGGGUCAUUGGAAACUGGGGAACUUGAGUGCAGAAGAGGAGAGUGGAAUUCCAUGUGUAGCGGUGAAAUGCGUAGAUAUAUGGAGGAACACCAGUGGCGAAGGCGACUCUCUGGUCUGUAACUGACGCUGAGGCUCGAAAGCGUGGGGAGCAAACAGGAUUAGAUACCCUGGUAGUCCACGCCGUAAACGAUGAGUGCUAGGUGUUAGACCCUUUCCGGGGUUUAGUGCCGUAGCUAACGCAUUAAGCACUCCGCCUGGGGAGUACGACCGCAAGGUUG